Small nuclear RNA from Nyctereutes procyonoides (raccoon dog), 102 nucleotides. Lineage: Eukaryota; Metazoa; Chordata; Mammalia; Carnivora; Canidae. The record is from RefSeq and is a predicted model, not a curated record.
GAGUGAUGACGCCCAUAUACUAAAAUUGGAACAAUAUGGAGAAGAUUAGCAUGGCCACUGUGCGAGGAUGACACGCAAAUUCGUGAAGUGUUCUCUCUCUUU